Molecule: RNA transcript, 982 nt
Organism: Capra hircus (goat)
Lineage: Eukaryota; Metazoa; Chordata; Mammalia; Artiodactyla; Bovidae
Gene name: cytochrome c oxidase subunit 7C, mitochondrial pseudogene
Exons: 1
Source: RefSeq, a predicted model, not a curated record
UUAAUUGAGAGGAUACAUAGAUUCUUUUUGGAGAAGAAUAUAGUGCAGAAUUAAUGAUAAAUUCAGAGAAUAAGCAACUUUUAAAAAUGACAGUUGUUCAGGGGAAACAGUUGCACAAGUAGAGAAGGGUAAUCAGAAUAUACCACAUAGUGCAGCUCAAGGUAACAUUUGCAAUAAAUCCUGAAUGUUGACAGAGUGCUCUUGAGAGAGUAUCCCAUGCUGGAGCAGUGGGGAUGGUGAAAGGGACUCAGACUACCUUACAUGGCAGGAAGCAUGAAGAAGUAGCAAAAUAAACUUGUUUGGAGAUACAGAGUAAAUACCAAAAGAAACAUCUAGAUGAGGUGAGAGUGGUUGCCUGUGAGAAGAAGGAAAUUGUAGAGAGGGUAGGGGCUUACUUUUUAUUGUGAUAGGCCUCGUAGUUAUAUCUGACUCCUUCCACUGUGUGGGUAUACACCUUUGAAAGUAAAAAUUAAAUCAACAUGAAAAGUGAGAGAGAGAUUUCCCAUCUUCCCUUUCGAUCCUUGCAGUUAGAGGAGCAAGGUCGUGAGGCAAGGAGCCGUAGGUUUGUAGCCGCCAUUUCUUCUGCCUCCGGUCUCUAGAUCUUUUGUAGAGCGUCCAACAGCGCUAUGUUGGGACAGAGCAUCCAGAGGUUCACAACCUCUGUGGUUCGUCGGAGCCACUAUGAGGAGGGUCCAGGGAAGAAUAUACCAUUUUCAGUGGAAAACAAGUGGAGGUUACUAGCUGUGAUGACUUUGUACUUUGAGUCUCGAUUUGCUGCACCUUUCUUUAUAGUAAGACACCAACUGCUUAAAAAGUAAUCCAUGAGACAGAUAGGAAGAGGAGCAUAGUAAGAGGUGCAGUCUCUUAAAAGGAUCAGUCCCUUGAACUCAGCAUCCUAGAUAUGUUUGUAAAUAAACUUAUGGCAUAAAUCCUUAAUGCCUCUUCUCUGAAAUAUGGAACAUGAUAAUUGAACAUGUGCUUA